Molecule: non-coding RNA, 128 nt
Organism: Triticum urartu
Lineage: Eukaryota; Viridiplantae; Streptophyta; Magnoliopsida; Poales; Poaceae
Source: Rfam
AACAUACUCCCUCCAUCCCAAAUUAGUUGUCUUAGAUUUGUCUAGAUACGGAUGUAUCUGGACACGUUUAGAUACAUCCCUUUUUAGACAAAUCUGAGUCAACUAAUUCGGAACGGAGGGAGUACAUA